AACGAGGCCGACCUGCGGCUGAGUUACCUGCGGAAGGAUCAUUAACGAGUGUAACCUAUCCUUUUAAUAAAAGGGUGGUACCUCCCGUCCUUUGCAGGCCCCCUUUUUUAUGGGGGGCUUUUUUUUUAAGACUUUCUGCUUCGGCGGGGUUACUCCCGCCGGAACACCCUCAAAAAACUCUCAAAAAAAAACCGUUCAGUCCGAGAACUUUUUAAAAAUAUAAAAAAAACUUUUAACAAC
RNAcentral lists this unclassified non-coding RNA (240 nucleotides) under soil metagenome. RNAcentral's name for it is "partial contains 5.8S ribosomal RNA, internal transcribed spacer 2, and large subunit ribosomal RNA". The record is from RNAcentral.